Brachypodium distachyon (stiff brome) is the source of this 2820-nucleotide RNA transcript. RefSeq lists it as uncharacterized. The transcript has 5 exons. Lineage: Eukaryota; Viridiplantae; Streptophyta; Magnoliopsida; Poales; Poaceae. The record is from RefSeq and is a predicted model, not a curated record.
CUUAUUUUCUCUUUGAUUGUUUGGAACUUGCCGUCUUUCAUUCUUCCCUCUGGAACCGGAAGACCAAGGUAUUUGGCUUCGAAGCGGCUAGACUGAACUCCCAGAAUUUGCAUGACUGCUUUUGUGUUAUUGGCCGAACAAGAGUUACCCAGCAUAAUAGAACAUUUCUCUUUGUUAAGGAGCUGACCGGUGCCUUUCUCAUACUCCAAAAGCACUGAGCGGAUUUUGAGAGCUUGGUCUCGAUUGGCUCUGAAGAAUAACAGGCUAUCGUCCGCAAAAAGGAGAUGAGAAAUUCCAGGGCUUCAUCAGCAAAUAUGCAGCUCAUGAAUAGCUCCCCCAUCAAUCUCUCUCUGGAGAAGCAGAGACAAACUUUCAGCAACCAAAAGGAAUAGGUACGGGGAAAGGGGGUCACCUUGGUGGAGGCCUGUGGGAGUGUGAAAACGCUCCAGCUUUUUGCCAUUAAAGCGGACACUAUAACUCACAGUGGUGACACAAGACAUGAUCCAUUUAAUCCAUUGGUCUGCGAAUCCAAGCUUGGUCAAGGUGGUUUGUAGGAAGCGCCAGUCGACCCGGUCGUAAGCUUUAGAUAAAUCAAGCUUGUACGCACAGAAACGACCCUUCUCAUCAUUGCUCUUUUGUAUGGUGUGAAUACAUUCGAAGGCGAUCAGGGCAUUAUCAGUGAUCGCUCUUCCAGGAAUAAAAGCACUCUGCGACUGAGAGAUGAUGUCCUGCAAGAGUGGUCUGAAUCUGUUUAGUCAAACAUUUAGAGAUGAUUUUGUAAAUCACAUUACAGAGACCGAUAGGGCGAAAAUCUUUCAAAUUAGUGGGAUCCUUGAUCUUUGGAAUUAGCACAAUGGUAGUGUCAUUCACUCCUUCAGGCAUGGAACCGGUACGGAAAAAUUCUCUAACGGCUCGACAGAUAUCUUCCUUCAAGAGGGUCCAUUGUCGCUGAAAAAAUCUGGCCGGCAUGCCAUCAGGUCCAGGCGCCUUCCAUGGGCCGAUCUGAAACAAUGCGUCACUAAUUUCUUCAUCCGAGAAUUCCCUGCACAGGUUUAAGUUCAUCUGAUCAGUGAUUUUCGGGGUGAAAACCUGAGCAGCAAAGGAGGGAUUCACAUUGUUGUCGGCACUGUAGAGGUUCUGAAAAAAGGCAGUGGUCAUCUGUUCCAUAAGCUGAACAUCUGCAGUAAGAGUCCCAUCAGGUUUCACGAGUUGAUUGAUAUUAUUUUUCUUUGCUCGCCAAGUGGCUUUGCGAUGGAAAAAUUUAGUGUUGCGGUCCCCUUCUCGAAUCCACCCAAUUCUAGAUCUCUGACGCCAAUAGAUUUCUUCAGAGUCAAGAAGACCAUCCAUUUGUUUAGACAGAGCAGUAGCCUCUUGUUGACUCGCGUGGCUCGGAUUGGCCAGAGCUUGACCAAUUUUCUUCCUAGUUUUCUCAAUCUUCCGGGGAAUGGAGCCAAUGGUACGAGCACUCCAGGAGUUCAAGGACUGCAUCACACCAGUCAGAUUUUUAGCAACAUCUCCGAGGUCGGUAGGUCGCCGAUGCAGCUCCCAAGCAGCUUGCACCUCACUGUCCAGCUCCUGAGAUUGUUACCAAACUGCUUCGUAACGCAAGUGCUUCUGUUUUUCAUGAGCUUCUUUAUUGGGGUCAAGCUGAAUUAAAAUAGGGCAAUGAUCAGAAGCCGGAGAGACAAGAUGCUUGACCUGACAGCGAGGAAAAAUUUGAGACCAACUCGGGUCAGCCACUGCGCGGUCCAAACGAACUCUGACAUUCCUGUCACCAGCCUGUUUGUUAUCAAAAGUCCAGGGUAAACCAUUAAAGCCCAAGUCAAAGACAUUGCAAUAAGAAAGAAUUUCUCUGAAAUCUGCCAUCUGCUUAUCUGGGCGUCUGCGAGCAGACAGGUGUUCUUUCGGCCACAUUGCUUCGUUGAAGUCGCCGCAAGAAGCCAAGGAACAUCAACAGAAGACUUGAUGCGGCGGAGAAGCUCCCAAAUGUGAUGUCGGAGGUGAGUACGAGGCUCGCCAUAAACAAAGAGAACGAAGCUAUUACUAUGUCAUCUCGCAAUCGCACUGGGCCACCCACCCCAUUCCAAGAUAUAAGCAACGACCAAGACUUGGCUGCCAGAUGAAGCUAUAUUAUCUGAGGCCGUUGAAUCUCCUGCUUUGCAAGAGUGGGUCAAUAGAGCUCCUGGUGUUGGGGAUCGAAUCGAAGAGAUCGCUGGAGCAGAGCAGAGGCGAGUUCAUCAGAUCAUUACCCGUUAGCAACUUUGUCAGUUCUGGAAUCUCCAGGAGCUGAAGCUCAAGUGAACGAACUUAGAAAAAUGUCAAUAAAAUUAAGCAAAGCACUGAACUUUGAAGGGAUCAGAUCAAUGGUAGAAAGGGUGUCACAAAAGAACAGCACUCAAUGGGAUGCCAAAGAUGUAGAGUCAACAGCUAAUCGGUCAAUGCAGGAAGUGGGAAAAAACGACGAAAAUAUUGUCACGGUAGAGACUGAAUGGCUCUGAGUUGCCACAUGGAAACACUCCUUUGUUAUCUCAUGGACUCUUGUUAUCUCAAUUUAGUUGGAAGAUUAGAAGUAUUUUAAUGACUUUAGGUACGCAUCUAUUCUAUAUGUUAUGAAGAUAGCUCAAUUUCAUAUAAUAUGAAGUCACUGCAUCUUCUCAAAACUUGCAUUUACUAAUUCAGAGGUUUUAUGUUAACUCAUAGUACAUAUACACAACCAAGCUGUCAUUUAUCAAGGAAAAACACUUUUGCUGAAUCAUAAUAAUGUGUUAUAUCCCAAGUUUCUCCCAGUUGAGAAAUCAUGUAUGACAUCUGAAAUGAAUC